UGAGAACAAACAGGUACAUAAGAGACGCAUGCCAAGGAUGGAAGGUAACCUUAAGAGGGCAAGGCUAGAACGACAGGGAAAACCCUCCUGGAGAAGGUGGCAUUUGAGUAAAGAAACAGAGAUUCUGAGGGCCAGAGGCUAUACAACUCUAGUUCCUUCAACUGAUCCUCAUAUAACGU
RNAcentral lists this long non-coding RNA (179 nucleotides) under Monodelphis domestica (gray short-tailed opossum). RNAcentral describes it as "lncRNA (ENSMODG00000051327.1)". Lineage: Eukaryota; Metazoa; Chordata; Mammalia; Didelphimorphia; Didelphidae. The record is from RNAcentral.